AGAGUUUGAUCCUGGCUCAGAUUGAACGCUGGCGGCAUGCUUUACACAUGCAAGUCGAACGGUAACGCGGGGGCAACCCUGGCGACGAGUGGCGAACGGGUGAGUAAUACAUCGGAACAUAUCCAGUAGCGGGGGAUAACCUAUCGAAAGAUGGACUAAUACCGCAUACGAUCUACGGAUGAAAGCAGGGGACCGCAAGGCCUUGCACUAUUGGAGUGGCCGAUGUCGGAUUAGCUAGUUGGUGAGGUAAAGGCUUACCAAGGCGACGAUCCGUAGCUGGUCUGAGAGGACGAUCAGCCACACUGGAACUGAGACACGGUCCAGACUCCUACGGGAGGCAGCAGUGGGGAAUUUUGGACAAUGGGCGCAAGCCUGAUCCAGCCAUGCCGCGUGAGUGAAGAAGGCCUUCGGGUUGUAAAGCUCUUUCGGUGAAGACGAAACGGUUCGUGCUAAUAACGCGGACUAAUGACGGUACUCACAGAAGAAGCACCGGCUAACUACGUGCCAGCAGCCGCGGUAAUACGUAGGGUGCAGGCGUUAAUCGGAAUUACUGGGCGUAAAGCGUGCGCAGGCGGUUUGCUAAGACAGGUGUGAAAUCCCCGGGCUUAACCUGGGAAUUGCGCUUGUAACUGGCAAGCUAGAGUGUGGCAGAGGGGGGUGGAAUUCCACGUGUAGCAGUGAAAUGCGUAGAUAUGUGGAGGAACACCGAUGGCGAAGGCAGCCCCCUGGGUUAACACUGACGCUCAUGCACGAAAGCGUGGGGAGCAAACAGGAUUAGAUACCCUGGUAGUCCACGCCCUAAACUAUGUCAACUAGUUGUCGGGGAAGAAAUUCCUUGGUAACGAAGCUAACGCGUGAAGUUGACCGCCUGGGGAGUACGGCCGCAAGGUUAAAACUCAAAGGAAUUGACGGGGACCCGCACAAGCGGUGGAUUAUGUGGAUUAAUUCGAUGCAACGCGAAAAACCUUACCUACCCUUGACAUGCUAGGAAGCCCGCAGAGAUGUGGGUGUGCCCGAAAGGGAACCUAGACAUAGGUGCUGCAUGGCUGUCGUCAGCUCGUGUCGUGAGAUGUUGGGUUAAGUCCCGCAACGAGCGCAACCCUUGCCAUUAGUUGCUACAUUCAGUUGGGCACUCUAAUGGGACCGCCGGUGACAAACCGGAGGAAGGUGGGGAUGACGUCAAGUCCUCAUGGCCCUUAUGGGUAGGGCUUCACACGUAUACAAUGGUCGGUACAGAGGGCUGCCAACCCGCAAGGGGGAGCUAAUCCCAGAAAGCCGAUCGUAGUCCGGAUUGUAGUCUGCAACUCGACUGCAUGAAGCCGGAAUCGCUAGUAAUCGCGGAUCAGCAUGUCGCGGUGAAUACGUUCCCGGGUCUUGUACACACCGCCCGUCACACCAUGGGAGUGGGUUCCACCAGAAGUAGUUAGCCUAACCGCAAGGAGGGCGAUUACCACGGUGAGAUUCAUGACUGGGGUGAAGUCGUAACAAGGUA
Molecule: ribosomal RNA, 1492 nt
Filed under: metagenome
Description: bacterial SSU rRNA
Rfam family: Bacterial small subunit ribosomal RNA
Source: RNAcentral